This 298-nucleotide long non-coding RNA is filed under the name Homo sapiens (human). RNAcentral's name for it is "non-protein coding lnc-SCUBE3-1:1". Lineage: Eukaryota; Metazoa; Chordata; Mammalia; Primates; Hominidae. The record is from RNAcentral.
CCUACAUAUAAAACUGAGUUUGGAUAUAGGGAAGCAACAGAGGGAGGAAGGGCGGCAGCAUGUUUUUAGGCUAAUUUAGACUCAAAAGGUCAUCUGAAACUCCACCCAAUGGGUUUUGUUGGGACUUGGGUACUAGAUAUUCCUGGUCAGCCAAAGUGUCUGAUCUUGUUAAUGGGCCAGUAAAAAUUAGGGGGACAAAGGCCAAGCACUGGCUACUCAAAUGAAUCUCCUCUGCAAAAGCCGAGCAAGCAAGAGCAACUCGUAAUGAGUUGUAACCAAGCAAACAGAGGAAUCAUUG